RNAcentral lists this ribosomal RNA (1007 nucleotides) under uncultured Micromonas. Its description in RNAcentral is "partial Bacterial large subunit ribosomal RNA". It matches the Rfam family "Bacterial large subunit ribosomal RNA", at positions 1527 to 2513 of the family's 2925-position model. The record is from RNAcentral. Lineage: Eukaryota; Viridiplantae; Chlorophyta; Mamiellophyceae; Mamiellales.
UGGACUUAGGCAAAUCCGGGUCCACAAUCUCGAGACGCGACGACGACCGCUCUUAGAGCGGGAAGUCAUUGAUGCCAUGCUUCCAGGAAAAUCUUCUAAGCUUCAGGCUAUUCGAGACCGUACCCCAAACCGACACAGGUGGUUGGGUAGAGAAUACCAAGGCGCUUGAGAGAACUCGGGUAAAGGAACUAGGCAAAAUGGUGCCGUAACUUCGGGAGAAGGCACGCUGGUGGUAGGUGAGACCCCUUGCGGGUGGAGCUGACGCCAGUCGAAGAUACCAGGCCCCUGCGACUGUUUAUUAAAAACACAGCACUGUGCAAACACGAAAGUGGACGUAUACGGUGUGACGCCUGCCCGGUGCCGGAAGGUUAAUUGAUGGGGUUAGCGCUUGCGCGAAGCUCUUGAUCGAAGCCCCGGUAAACGGCGGCCGUAACAAUAACGGUCCUAAGGUAGCGAAAUUCCUUGUCGGGUAAGUUCCGACCUGCACGAAUGGCGUAACGACUUCCCCGCUGUCUCCAACAUAGACUCAGCGAAAUUGAAUUGCCUGUCAAGAUGCAGGCUACCCGCGGUUAGACGGAAAGACCCCGUGCACCUUCACUACAGCUUCGCACUGGCAUCAGACACAACAUGUGCAGGAUAGGUGGUAGGCUUCGAAGCAGGGACGCCAGUCUCUGUGGAGCCUCCCUUGAGAUACCACCCUUGCUUUGCUUGAUGUCUAACCGCGGUCCGUUAUCCGGAUCCGGGACCCUGUGUGGUGGGUAGUUUGACUGGGGCGGUCUCCUCCCAAAGCGUAACGGAGGAGCACAAAGGUGGGCUAAGCAUGGUCGGACAUCAUGCGGUUAGUGUAAUGGCACAAGCCCGCUUAACUGCGAGACAGACACGUCGAGCAGGUACGAAAGUAGGUCAUAGUGAUCCGGUGGUUCUGUAUGGAAGGGCCAUCGCUCAACGGAUAAAAGGUACGCCGGGGAUAACAGGCUGAUACUGCCCAAGAGUCCAUAUCGACGGCA